AUCCUUUUGUAGUUCAUGAGCAUGGCAAUUGGGUUUUCACAUUCACAUGUGAGAUGUGCCUCCCUCAAACCUGGAUACGACACUGGCACAUUACCUGCCUGCCA
Small nucleolar RNA from Lemur catta (Ring-tailed lemur), 104 nucleotides. RefSeq annotates it as small nucleolar RNA U13. The transcript has a single exon. NCBI's taxonomy places the organism in Eukaryota, Metazoa, Chordata, Mammalia, Primates, Lemuridae. The record is from RefSeq and is a predicted model, not a curated record.